CAGGCGAUCUCGCAGCUCAUUCCUUUGGUUGGUCAUCAGCUGCAGCUCUGUGGUCAUCCUCUCUAUCUCCUUCUUCACUUGUUUCUUGAUUCAGUAGUCUACGGGGACCACUGUCAGGGAGACGUGAAUAGAGGAGUUCUGCUGUACAGUCUGAGGACAUAAAGUCUUAGCCAGAAGUACUCAUCUCUCCAUGUGACUGGUGUCACACAGUCACUGCACCUAAAGAAAACUGCUGAGGGUGACGUGCAGUGAUGCCUGCCCACAUCUGGGGACACAUUAGUCCCUACUGACUCCAGGUGGGAUCCUGGGGUCCCCACAUUACACUACCGAGUGUGCUAAAGGUAAAAUCUAGGUGCGCCUAGCACAACAGCCUUGGCCUUGCCCGGUCUUGGCUUAGGGAACAGACAAACUAAUGCUCUGGAGUCAUGGACUAUCAGGAAUUAGGAUAAGCAUUGAGGUCCAUUUGCUUCCCAGAGGGUCCAGAUCCUCUGUCCCAUUACUGAAAGUCCCAGCUGAAGUCCACCUCCUCCAGGACCCUCCCCAUCUCCUGCCCAUCACUCACUGUGCCUACGCCAGGACCACUUAUGUGUUGCUGCUUUAUUUUGAGAAGUAACAUCAGCUUCUUUCUGUCUCUCUCUAGUCUCUGAAUGUUCUCCAUGUUCUCUUGCAAACAGAGACCUCAUUCUUGACAACAUUUCUAAUGAUAAACCAGAGAGUCACUGAAGUAAUGCCCUAAGGGCCGUUGGUGUUGCUACAACACUGGUGACAUCGUGGAAUGCCAUGAGCUCUCCAGGAUACAAUAGAAUUCCCAAGGAAGGGACUGCUGAUGUCAUGGAGAACAGCUUUGCCUCCCUGCUAAUUAUUACUCCCUGAAUGUACCAAAAUCCCAGGGUCCCAUUCCAGGAUCUUGUCUUCGAAUAUAGGGUAAGCCAUCCAGCAACCCCUCCUUCCAAAUCCAGAGUUUCCUAAGCUUGCAUGGAAGCCCUCUAGUAUUUCCCAUGUGGAGAACUGAGCUAGACUUUCUAAAUAUUGGUGAGUAAUGUCACAUUCCUUCCUCAAAGACCUCUUAGUCAUCAUGAGCAAUUAAAUACUACCGAGGAAGGAAUGCAUGUUGGCAUAUUUCACAGCCUACAGCUGGUGAAUAGUUCCCAUAAGUUCAGGUUGCUACAAAGCCCUGUGGCCAAAUGUUUACUGACAUUGUAGGGACCAACUUUUCCACCCACAUCCUGAUUCAUCACACAUGCACACCCGGAGGUCCCUCUGCACUAGGACUUCAUUAGGUCACUGACCCUGAAGGGUGACAUGCCUCAAUUGCUGCUAUGAUCAAGGAAUGUGAGAAAGGGGGUUAUUGUGAGAAUUAAAAGUAUCAACAAAGA
Molecule: long non-coding RNA, 1376 nt
Organism: Mesocricetus auratus (golden hamster)
Lineage: Eukaryota; Metazoa; Chordata; Mammalia; Rodentia; Cricetidae
Exons: 2
Source: RefSeq, a predicted model, not a curated record